RNAcentral lists this ribosomal RNA (896 nucleotides) under uncultured bacterium. Its description in RNAcentral is "bacterial SSU rRNA". It matches the Rfam family "Bacterial small subunit ribosomal RNA", at positions 59 to 918 of the family's 1533-position model. The record is from RNAcentral.
CAGUCGAACGAGUUCUCGUUGAUGAUCGGUGCUUGCACCGAGAUUCAACAUGGAACGAGUGGCGGACGGGUGAGUAACACGUGGGUAACCUGCCCUUAAGUGGGGGAUAACAUUUGGAAACAGAUGCUAAUACCGCAUAGAUCCAAGAACCGCAUGGUUCUUGGCUGAAAGAUGGCGUAAGCUAUCGCUUUUGGAUGGACCCGCGGCGUAUUAGCUAGUUGGUGAGGUAAUGGCUCACCAAGGCGAUGAUACGUAGCCGAACUGAGAGGUUGAUCGGCCACAUUGGGACUGAGACACGGCCCAAACUCCUACGGGAGGCAGCAGUAGGGAAUCUUCCACAAUGGACGCAAGUCUGAUGGAGCAACGCCGCGUGAGUGAAGAAGGCUUUCGGGUCGUAAAACUCUGUUGUUGGAGAAGAAUGGUCGGCAGAGUAACUGUUGCCGGCGUGACGGUAUCCAACCAGAAAGCCACGGCUAACUACGUGCCAGCAGCCGCGGUAAUACGUAGGUGGCAAGCGUUAUCCGGAUUUAUUGGGCGUAAAGCGAGCGCAGGCGGUUUUUUAAGUCUGAUGUGAAAGCCCUCGGCUUAACCGAGGAAGCGCAUCGGAAACUGGGAAACUUGAGUGCAGAAGAGGACAGUGGAACUCCAUGUGUAGCGGUGAAAUGCGUAGAUAUAUGGAAGAACACCAGUGGCGAAGGCGGCUGUCUGGUCUGUAACUGACGCUGAGGCUCGAAAGCAUGGGUAGCGAACAGGAUUAGAUACCCUGGUAGUCCAUGCCGUAAACGAUGAAUGCUAGGUGUUGGAGGGUUUCCGCCCUUCAGUGCCGCAGCUAACGCAUUAAGCAUUCCGCCUGGGGAGUACGACCGCAAGGUUGAAACUCAAAGGAAUUGACGGGG